RNAcentral lists this ribosomal RNA (193 nucleotides) under uncultured bacterium. RNAcentral's name for it is "partial 16S ribosomal RNA". It matches the Rfam family "Bacterial small subunit ribosomal RNA", at positions 338 to 523 of the family's 1533-position model. The record is from RNAcentral.
CCUACGGGAGGCAGCAGUAGGGAAUCUUCCGCAAUGGGCGAAAGCCUGACGGAGCAACGCCGCGUGAGUGAUGAAGGUCUUCGGAUCGUAAAACUCUGUUAUCAGGGAAGAACAAAUGUGUAAGUAACUGUGCACAUCUUGACGGUACCUGAUCAGAAAGCCACGGCUAACUACGUGCCAGCAGCCGCGGUAA